GCCUAACACAUGCAAGUCGAAGGAGAAGGGUAGUGCUUGCACUACCUGGAGACUGGCGCACGGGUGAGUAACGCGUAGAUAAUCUGCCUAUAGCAGGAGGGUAACCAUUGGAAACGAUGGCUAAUACUCCAUGAUGCAGCGGGGUCGCAUGACCACAGUUGUUAAAGGCCUUCGGGUUGGCUAUAGAUGAGUCUGCGUGCCAUUAGUUAGUUGGUAGGGUAAUGGCCUACCAAGGCGAUGAUGGCUAGGGGGUCUGAGAGGAUGAUCCCCCACACUGGGACUGAGACACGGCCCAGACUCCUACGGGAGGCAGCAGUGAGGAAUCUUGCGCAAUGGGGGAAACCCUGACGCAGCCACGCCGCGUGCCGGAAGACGGCCCUAUGGGUUGUAAACGGCUUUUGUUUGGGAAGAAAGUGCAGGUUUCGACCAGCAUUGACGGUACCAUUUGAAUCAGCACCGGCUAACUCCGUGCCAGCAGCCGCGGUAAUACGGAGGGUGCAAGCGUUGUCCGGAAUCAUUGGGUGUAAAGGGUGCGUAGGCUGACUUUUAAGUCAGGGGUGAAAUCUUGCCGCUUAACGGUAAAAUGGCCUUUGAUACUGGGAGUCUUGAAUCUGACAGAGGUCGGUGGAAUUCGUAGUGUAGCGGUGAAAUGCAUAGAUAUUACGAAGAACACCAGUGGCGAAGGCGGCCGGCUGGGUCAGUAUUGACGCUGAGGCACGAGAGCGUGGGGAGCGAACAGGAUUAGAUACCCUGGUAGUCCACGCUGUAAACGAUGUAUGCUAGUUGUUGGGCUUUUGGGCUCAGUGACGCAGUUAACGCAGUAAGCAUACCACCUGGGGAGUACGUUACUCGCAAGAAUGAAAUCUCAAAGGAAUAAGCGGGGUUCUACACAAGCGGUGGAGCAUAUGUCUUUCAUUAGAUACAACGCGAAGAACCUUACCCGGGCUAAAUAUCCGAAGACCGGUCCAGAAACGGACCUUCCCUUCGGGGCGCCGGCGAAGGUGCUGCAUGGCUGUCGUCAGCUCGUGCCGUGAGGUGUUGCCUUAAGUGGCGCAACGAGCGCAACCCCUGUGGUUAGUUACCAGCACGUAAUGGUGGGGACUCUAGCCAGACUGCCUACGCAAGUAGUGAGGAAGGUGGGGACGACGUCAAGUCAUCAUGGCCCUUAUGUCCGGGGCUGCACACGUGCUACAAUGGAUGGUACAGAGGGAAGCCACCCCGCGAGGGGGUGCAGAUCUCGAAAGCCAUUCCCAGUUCGGAUUGGAGUCUGCAACUCGACUCCAUGAAGGUGGAAUCGCUAGUAAUCGCGUAUCAGCAAUGACGCGGUGAAUACGUUCCCGGGCCUUGUACACACCGCCCGUCAAGCGAUGGAAGUCAGGAGUACCUGAUGUCGCCACAGCAAGUGGUGCCUAGGGUAAGCUUGGCAACUGGCGCUAAGUCGUAACAAGG
This 1449-nucleotide ribosomal RNA is filed under the name uncultured Bacteroidota bacterium. Its description in RNAcentral is "bacterial SSU rRNA". It matches the Rfam family "Bacterial small subunit ribosomal RNA". The record is from RNAcentral. Lineage: Bacteria; Pseudomonadati; Bacteroidota.